GGAUAGCUCAGUUGGUUAGAGUUUGGCGCUGAUAACACUGAGGUUGCAGGUUUGAUCCCUGUAUGGGACA
This is a non-coding RNA of Podarcis lilfordi (Lilford's wall lizard), 70 nucleotides long. Lineage: Eukaryota; Metazoa; Chordata; Lepidosauria; Squamata; Lacertidae. The record is from the annotation of a GenBank genome assembly.